GGGCAUGUGGUUUAGUGGUAUAAUAUCCCCUUAGCAAGGAUUCUUUCGUGGGGAAGGUCCGGAGUUCGAUUCUCCGCUUGUCCA
This is a non-coding RNA of Glutinoglossum americanum, 84 nucleotides long. The record is from the annotation of a GenBank genome assembly. NCBI's taxonomy places the organism in Eukaryota, Fungi, Ascomycota, Geoglossomycetes, Geoglossales, Geoglossaceae.